CUUGAGGCUGCCGAGCCAGAGCGGUCGGUCGGCGGGCCGCUCGCGGCCGUAGGUGGCGACGAUGGCCUGGGCCUC
Non-coding RNA from Frankia alni, 75 nucleotides. It matches the Rfam family "ASpks TB sRNA". The record is from Rfam. Lineage: Bacteria; Bacillati; Actinomycetota; Actinomycetes; Frankiales; Frankiaceae.